This 329-nucleotide ribosomal RNA is filed under the name uncultured eukaryote. RNAcentral describes it as "partial 18S ribosomal RNA". It matches the Rfam family "Eukaryotic small subunit ribosomal RNA", at positions 1470 to 1796 of the family's 1831-position model. The record is from RNAcentral.
CCCUUAGAUGUUCUGGGCCGCACGCGCGCUACACUGAUGCAUUCAACGAGUCUAAAACCUGCUCUGAUAGGGGUGGGUAAUCUUUUGAAUGUGCAUCGUGAUUGGGAUAGAUGAUUGCAAUUUUUCAUCUUCAACGAGGAAUGCCUAGUAAACGCAAGUCAUCAGCUUGCAUUGAUUACGUCCCUGCCCUUUGUACACACCGCCCGUCGCUCCUACCGAUUGAAUGAUCCGAUGAAUAUCAUGGAUUGAGGAUGCAAGUAGGUUAGCCUAUCUUCAUCUUCGAGAAGUGAAGUAAGUCUUAUCAUUUAGAGGAAGGAGAAGUCGUAACA